This 999-nucleotide ribosomal RNA is filed under the name Klebsiella pneumoniae. Its description in RNAcentral is "bacterial SSU rRNA". It matches the Rfam family "Bacterial small subunit ribosomal RNA", at positions 8 to 998 of the family's 1533-position model. Lineage: Bacteria; Pseudomonadati; Pseudomonadota; Gammaproteobacteria; Enterobacterales; Enterobacteriaceae. The record is from RNAcentral.
AGAGUUUGAUCAUGGCUCAGAUUGAACGCUGGCGGCAGGCCUAACACAUGCAAGUCGAGCGGUAGCACAGAGAGCUUGCUCUCGGGUGACGAGCGGCGGACGGGUGAGUAAUGUCUGGGAAACUGCCUGAUGGAGGGGGAUAACUACUGGAAACGGUAGCUAAUACCGCAUAAUGUCGCAAGACCAAAGUGGGGGACCUUCGGGCCUCAUGCCAUCAGAUGUGCCCAGAUGGGAUUAGCUAGUAGGUGGGGUAACGGCUCACCUAGGCGACGAUCCCUAGCUGGUCUGAGAGGAUGACCAGCCACACUGGAACUGAGACACGGUCCAGACUCCUACGGGAGGCAGCAGUGGGGAAUAUUGCACAAUGGGCGCAAGCCUGAUGCAGCCAUGCCGCGUGUGUGAAGAAGGCCUUCGGGUUGUAAAGCACUUUCAGCGGGGAGGAAGGCGUUAAGGUUAAUAACCUCAUCGAUUGACGUUACCCGCAGAAGAAGCACCGGCUAACUCCGUGCCAGCAGCCGCGGUAAUACGGAGGGUGCAAGCGUUAAUCGGAAUUACUGGGCGUAAAGCGCACGCAGGCGGUCUGUCAAGUCGGAUGUGAAAUCCCCGGGCUCAACCUGGGAACUGCAUUCGAAACUGGCAGGCUAGAGUCUUGUAGAGGGGGGUAGAAUUCCAGGUGUAGCGGUGAAAUGCGUAGAGAUCUGGAGGAAUACCGGUGGCGAAGGCGGCCCCCUGGACAAAGACUGACGCUCAGGUGCGAAAGCGUGGGGAGCAAACAGGAUUAGAUACCCUGGUAGUCCACGCCGUAAACGAUGUCGAUUUGGAGGUUGUGCCCUUGAGGCGUGGCUUCCGGAGCUAACGCGUUAAAUCGACCGCCUGGGGAGUACGGCCGCAAGGUUAAAACUCAAAUGAAUUGACGGGGGCCCGCACAAGCGGUGGAGCAUGUGGUUUAAUUCGAUGCAACGCGAAGAACCUUACCUGGUCUUGACAUCCACAGAACUU